This 2335-nucleotide ribosomal RNA is filed under the name Kluyvera cryocrescens. RNAcentral's name for it is "bacterial LSU rRNA". It matches the Rfam family "Bacterial large subunit ribosomal RNA", at positions 619 to 2925 of the family's 2925-position model. The record is from RNAcentral. Lineage: Bacteria; Pseudomonadati; Pseudomonadota; Gammaproteobacteria; Enterobacterales; Enterobacteriaceae.
GUCAGCGACUUAUAUUCUGUAGCAAGGUUAACCGUAUAGGGGAGCCGAAGGGAAAACCGAGUCUUAACUGGGCGUUAAGUUGCAGGGUAUAGACCCGAAACCCGGUGAUCUAGCCAUGGGCAGGUUGAAGGUUGGGUAACACUAACUGGAGGACCGAACCGACUAAUGUUGAAAAAUUAGCGGAUGACUUGUGGCUGGGGGUGAAAGGCCAAUCAAACCGGGAGAUAGCUGGUUCUCCCCGAAAGCUAUUUAGGUAGCGCCUCGUGAACUCAUCUUCGGGGGGUAGAGCACUGUUUCGGCUAGGGGGUCAUCCCGACUUACCAACCCGAUGCAAACUACGAAUACCGAAGAAUGUUAUCACGGGAGACACACGGCGGGUGCUAACGUCCGUCGUGAAGAGGGAAACAACCCAGACCGCCAGCUAAGGUCCCAAAGUCACAGUUAAGUGGGAAACGAUGUGGGAAGGCUCAGGACAGCCAGGAUGUUGGCUUAGAAGCAGCCAUCAUUUAAAGAAAGCGUAAUAGCUCACUGGUCGAGUCGGCCUGCGCGGAAGAUGUAACGGGGCUAAACUGUGCACCGAAGCUGCGGCAGCGACACUAUGUGUUGUUGGGUAGGGGAGCGUUCUGUAAGCCGUUGAAGGUGGCCUGUGAGGGUUGCUGGAGGUAUCAGAAGUGCGAAUGCUGACAUAAGUAACGAUAAUGCGGGUGAAAAACCCGCACGCCGGAAGACCAAGGGUUCCUGGUCCAACGUUAAUCGGGGCAGGGUGAGUCGACCCCUAAGGCGAGGCCGAAAGGCGUAGUCGAUGGGAAACAGGUUAAUAUUCCUGUACUUGGUGUUACUGCGAAGGGGGGACGGAGAAGGCUAUGUUAGCCGGGCGACGGUUGUCCCGGUUUAAGCAUGUAGGCGGAGAGUUUAGGUAAAUCCGGACUCUUACUAACGCUGAGGUGUGAUGACGAGGCACUACGGUGCUGAAGUAACAAAUGCCCUGCUUCCAGGAAAAGCCUCUAAGCAUCAGGUAACAUCAAAUCGUACCCCCAAACCGACACAGGUGGUCAGGUAGAGAAUACCAAGGCGCUUGAGAGAACUCGGGUGAAGGAACUAGGCAAAAUGGUGCCGUAACUUCGGGAGAAGGCACGCUGAUAUGUAGGUGAAGUGAUUUACUCAUGGAGCUGAAAUCAGUCGAAGAUACCAGCUGGCUGCAACUGUUUAUUAAAAACACAGCACUGUGCAAACACGAAAGUGGACGUAUACGGUGUGACGCCUGCCCGGUGCCGGAAGGUUAAUUGAUGGGGUUAGCGGCAACGCGAAGCUCUUGAUCGAAGCCCCGGUAAACGGCGGCCGUAACUAUAACGGUCCUAAGGUAGCGAAAUUCCUUGUCGGGUAAGUUCCGACCUGCACGAAUGGCGUAAUGAUGGCCAGGCUGUCUCCACCCGAGACUCAGUGAAAUUGAACUCGCUGUGAAGAUGCAGUGUACCCGCGGCAAGACGGAAAGACCCCGUGAACCUUUACUAUAGCUUGACACUGAACACUGGUCCUUGAUGUGUAGGAUAGGUGGGAGGCUUUGAAGUGUGGACGCCAGUCUGCAUGGAGCCAACCUUGAAAUACCACCCUUUAAUGGCUGGUGUUCUAACGUAGACCCGUAAUCCGGGUUGCGGACAGUGUCUGGUGGGUAGUUUGACUGGGGCGGUCUCCUCCUAAAGAGUAACGGAGGAGCACGAAGGUUAGCUAAUCCUGGUCGGACAUCAGGAGGUUAGUGCAAUGGCAUAAGCUAGCUUGACUGCGAGAGUGACGGCUCGAGCAGGUGCGAAAGCAGGUCAUAGUGAUCCGGUGGUUCUGAAUGGAAGGGCCAUCGCUCAACGGAUAAAAGGUACUCCGGGGAUAACAGGCUGAUACCGCCCAAGAGUUCAUAUCGACGGCGGUGUUUGGCACCUCGAUGUCGGCUCAUCACAUCCUGGGGCUGAAGUAGGUCCCAAGGGUAUGGCUGUUCGCCAUUUAAAGUGGUACGCGAGCUGGGUUUAGAACGUCGUGAGACAGUUCGGUCCCUAUCUGCCGUGGGCGCUGGAGAAUUGAGGGGGGCUGCUCCUAGUACGAGAGGACCGGAGUGGACGCAUCACUGGUGUUCGGGUUGUCAUGCCAAUGGCAUUGCCCGGUAGCUAAAUGCGGAAAAGAUAAGUGCUGAAAGCAUCUAAGCACGAAACUUGCCCCGAGAUGAGUUCUCCCUGACCCUUUAAGGGUCCUGAAGGAACGUUGAAGACGACGACGUUGAUAGGCUGGGUGUGUAAGCGUAGCGAUACGUUGAGCUAACCAGUACUAAUGAACCGUGAGGCUUAACCUU